This 484-nucleotide ribosomal RNA is filed under the name uncultured bacterium. RNAcentral describes it as "partial 16S ribosomal RNA". It matches the Rfam family "Bacterial small subunit ribosomal RNA", at positions 30 to 507 of the family's 1533-position model. The record is from RNAcentral.
AUUGAACGCUGGCGGCAGGCCUAACACAUGCAAGUCGAGCGGACGAAUGGAGCUUUCUCCUGUAUUCAGCUACCGACGGGUGAGUAAUUCCUACGAAGCUGCCUGAUCGUUGAGGAUAACGUCCCUUCACGGGCCCUAAUACCGCAUCCGUCAAGAUAUUGAAAGUGAUGGAUCUUCAGAGCUCACGCGAUCUGAUGAGCCUAGGUCGGAUUAGCUAGUUGGUUGGGUAAAGGCUUACCAAGGCGACGAUCCGUAACUGGCCUGAGAGGAUGAUCAGUCACACUGGAACUGAGACACGGUCCAGACUCCUACGGGAGGCAGCAGUGGGGAAUCUUCGACAAAGGGCGAAAGCCUGAUGGAGCAAUGCCGCGUGAGUGAAGAAGGUCUUCGGAUUGUAAAACACUUUUAGUUGGGAAGAACAAAAGUAUGAUUAACUAUUCACGUCUUGACGGUACCAAAAGAGAAAGCCACGGCUAACUACGUG